UACGUAGGUGACAAGCGUUGUCCGGAUUUACUGGGCGUAAAGAGCGCGCAGGCGGUCGUUCAAGUCGAGUGUGAAAGCCCCCGGCUCAACUGGGGAGGGUCACUCGAUACUGAUCGACUCGAAGGCAGGAGAGGGAAGUGGAAUUCCCGGUGUAGUGGUGAAAUGCGUAGAUAUCGGGAGGAACACCAGUGGCGAAGGCGACUUCCUGGCCUGUUCUUGACGCUGAGGCGCGAAGGCGUGGGGAGCGAACGGGG
RNAcentral lists this ribosomal RNA (254 nucleotides) under uncultured bacterium. Its description in RNAcentral is "partial 16S ribosomal RNA". It matches the Rfam family "Bacterial small subunit ribosomal RNA", at positions 524 to 777 of the family's 1533-position model. The record is from RNAcentral.